UAAAACUAAAAUGGAGGCAAGUGCAAGGAAGAGGAAAGGGAGACCAGCCUGAAGCAACUAAAGAGUUUGAGGGAAGGAAAGAAGCAAAAAACAGGGGGAGGCAAAAAAACGGGGGGGGGGAGAGCUUUGAAGGACUCACUGCAAUUUUUAAAAAGUCUACUCAGAAGUAAGUCCCAUUGAGUUCAGUGCUUCUGUGUGCUGGCAGUGAUUGAGUUUGAGGAAAGGAAGGAGAAAAAAAUGGGGGAGAGGGAAAGCUUUGGAGAAUUCACAUUUGAAUUUUAAAAAGGUCUACUCAGAAGUAAAUCCCACUGAGUUCAGUGGGGCUUACUCCCAGGUGAGGCUGUCAAUGUGCUGAACCGGUGUCUGGCUGCGACAAUGGACUGGAUGAGGGCUAAUAAACUGAGGCGCAAUCCAGACAAGACUGAGAUGCUGCUAGUGGGUGGUUCUUCUGACCAGAUGGUGGAUGUCCAACCUGUCCUGGAUGGGGUUGCACUCCCCCUGAAGGAGCAGGCAUACAAGAUUUUAAGCACCAAUGAACAUCCAGGCAGUGAAGUAUGAGAGUUCAUCCACAUGACCGCUUGAGCUCAUAAAAUAGAUUUGAGUUUGGAUGAACCUGGGUCUAGGCCUCCCCAUUGUACUGCCACAAUUAAA
Rhineura floridana is the source of this 651-nucleotide long non-coding RNA. RefSeq lists it as uncharacterized. The record is from RefSeq and is a predicted model, not a curated record. NCBI's taxonomy places the organism in Eukaryota, Metazoa, Chordata, Lepidosauria, Squamata, Rhineuridae. The transcript has 3 exons.